CUGCAUGGACUUGGUGUGUAAACUUGGCGGGGAAGGCAUAGGCUCCGAGGGCAUGCAGAGCUACAGGGAGGGCCAACAGUGGGCCCAGGGGAAGAGGUGGUGGUGAUCUGUGGGAUCCGGCCAGGCUCACUUAGCAGGUCAUGGCCCAUGAAUCACUCCAGCUAAGACCUCCAAGUACAUGUCCAGAGUAGGAGCAAGUAAGGCCUGGGGCUAAGGCCACGUGUUAGGUCAAAUCCUGAAGCCAGCUGUGUGAAGGCAGGCAGGUAAGGCCCGUGGUCCUCAUUUGUGCUGCUGGGGCAAGAAGCCCUGAGGGCCUGGGGCAAGUGGGUUUGCACUGCAGGGGCAGCCCAAGAGGACAGGGUCAUGUGUGUGUUCCACAGCGCAGGGCUCUACUCCAGGACAGUAUAGGCAGAAGGUGCCUACGGUCACGUGUGAAGCCACGGGAUAUGGGGAAAGUGAACAAACAGAUGCCUAAGGAGGCGAGUGAGGAUUCUGAGAGGAGCCAAGUGCCAGCAGGGUUCCAGCAGGGAGAAACAGAGUGGCAUGUGCACCAGGAGCCCCAUGCACCACAGCAGGCAGUGAAGUGUGGACUAUUCAGGCCAACAGGGUAAAGGAGGUUGAGGAGUCAAAGCCUAAACUCAGGUGCCACAGCAAGCGGAAUGAGCCCAGGCACUUACUGCUAUGAGGAGCCCAGGGCAGGGCUUUGUGGACAAAGAGAUCACAAAGGACCAGCUGGAUUCUGGCAAGGGCUUUAGCAGAGUCGUCAAGUAUGGAUUAUUUAGGUAAAGUACUGAAGCUGGGGAGAAUAGUUAGGGGCAAUAUAAGAAGAGCCCUGGUCGGGGAGGCACGGGGUCCCAUGUAAUGCACAGCUUGGGAAAGGGACCCUACCGGCAUGGGAACCAGGGACAGGGGCAGCAAGGCCAAGGGGCACCGGGGCAGGGACCAUUGGGAGUGUCACUCGGCAUAGAUUACAAGGCCAAGACUCAGUGCUGGGGGAGUAUUGUCCAGGGCUAAUAGGCAGGCCACUGGGUAAGGCCUGGGAUGGGGACAAAGUGGGACACCGGAUGCCACAACCUAUUGAGGUAAGGGGUGGGCUCCACGGACCUGAGAUACUGGUGUGUAAACACUAGCGUGGGGCUGCAAGGACAUGGGCCCCCAAGGCGAGACAAGGGCGGCACGGGUCUUAGGGCAGACCAUUCAGCGUGGAACUCUCAGGCCCACACGCGGCACUGGGUGAGGAAGGGUGAAGCUCCAUCAGGCCAGGGUGCAGGGCCAAGGGCCAAAGCCUGGGGUGAACAAUGAGGUGAGCAUGGCGAGGGCUCCAGGGCUUGGAGCACUCAGGGCUUGGGGCAUGGGAAAGUGGGGUGCUGGGAACAGGACACUGCGGACAGAGAUGCUCUGGGGCAGGGGCACCUGACAGGGGAUUUGGCUAGGUGGUGACCUCACUCCACUCCGCCACUUCUUGUAAUUCGCUGAGUGAAGCCAGCAGCGCGGUGACCCCUGCUGAGUUUUCCACUUGUGAGGCCAAGGCAUCAAGCCCCUUUUC
This 1546-nucleotide long non-coding RNA is filed under the name Heterocephalus glaber (naked mole-rat). RNAcentral's name for it is "lncRNA (ENSHGLG00000050590.1)". The record is from RNAcentral. Lineage: Eukaryota; Metazoa; Chordata; Mammalia; Rodentia; Bathyergidae.